GACGAACGCUGGCGGCGUGCCUAAUACAUGCAAGUCGAGCGAGUCUGCCUUGAAGAUCGGAGUGCUUGCACUCUGUGAAACAAGAUACAGGCUAGCGGCGGACGGGUGAGUAACACGUGGGUAACCUGCCCAAGAGAUCGGGAUAACACCUGGAAACAGAUGCUAAUACCGGAUAACAACAGAUGAUGCCUAUCAACUGUUUAAAAGAUGGUUCUGCUAUCACUCUUGGAUGGACCUGCGGUGCAUUAGCUAGUUGGUAGGGUAACGGCCUACCAAGGCGAUGAUGCAUAGCCGAGUUGAGAGACUGAUCGGCCACAUUGGGACUGAGACACGGCCCAAACUCCUACGGGAGGCAGCAGUAGGGAAUCUUCCACAAUGGACGCAAGUCUGAUGGAGCAACGCCGCGUGAGUGAAGAAGGGUUUCGGCUCGUAAAGCUCUGUUGUUGGUGAAGAAGGACAGGGGUAGUAACUGACCUUUGUUUGACGGUAAUCAAUUAGAAAGACACGGCUAACUAAGUG
Molecule: ribosomal RNA, 519 nt
Filed under: uncultured bacterium
Lineage: Bacteria
Description: partial 16S ribosomal RNA
Rfam family: Bacterial small subunit ribosomal RNA
Source: RNAcentral